Molecule: ribosomal RNA, 358 nt
Filed under: uncultured bacterium
Lineage: Bacteria
Description: bacterial SSU rRNA
Rfam family: Bacterial small subunit ribosomal RNA
Source: RNAcentral
AGAGUUUGAUCCUGGCUCAGGACGAACGCUGGCGGCGUGCUUAACACAUGCAAGUCGAGCGGAAAGGCCCUUCGGGGUACUCGAGCGGCGAACGGGUGAGUAACACGUGAGCAACCUGCCCCUGGCUCUGGGAUAGCCUCCGGAAACGGGGAUUAAUACCGGACAUUCACUCUCUUGGGCAUCUUCGAGAGUGGAAAGUUUUUUCGGCCGGGGAGGGGCUCGCGGCCUAUCAGCUUGUUGGCGGGGUAACGGCCCACCAAGGCGACGACGGGUAGCCGGCCUGAGAGGGCGACCGGCCACACUGGGACUGAGACACGGCCCAGACUCCUACGGGAGGCAGCAGUGGGGAAUAUUGCGC